RNAcentral lists this ribosomal RNA (543 nucleotides) under uncultured bacterium. RNAcentral's name for it is "partial 16S ribosomal RNA". It matches the Rfam family "Bacterial small subunit ribosomal RNA", at positions 355 to 911 of the family's 1533-position model. The record is from RNAcentral.
UGGGGAAUAUUGCACAAUGGGCGAAAGCCUGAUGCAGCAACGCCGCGUGAGUGAUGAAGGCCUUCGGGUUGUAAAAGCUCUGUCUUUUGGGACGAUAAUGACGGUACCAAAGGAGGAAGCCACGGCUAACUACGUGCCAGCAGCCGCGGUAAUACGUAGGUGGCAAGCGUUGUCCGGAUUUACUGGGCGUAAAGGAUGCGUAGGCGGAUUUUUAAGUGAGAUGUGAAAACCCUAAGCUUAACUUGGGGACUGCAUUUCAUACUGGAAAUCUAGAGUGCGGGAGAGGAGAAUGGAAUUCCUAGUGUAGCGGUGAAAUGCGUAGAGAUUAGGAAGAACACCAGUGGCGAAGGCGAUUCUCUGGACCGUAACUGACGCUGAGGCAUGAAAGCAGUGGGUAGCAAACAGGAUUAGAUACCCUGGUAGUCCACGCCGUAAACGAUGAGUACUAGGUGUAGGAGGUAUCGACCCCUUCUGUGCCGCAGUUAACACAAUAAGUACUCCGCCUGGGAAGUACGAUCGCAAGAUUAAAAACUUAAAGGAAUU